This 254-nucleotide ribosomal RNA is filed under the name uncultured bacterium. Its description in RNAcentral is "partial 16S ribosomal RNA". It matches the Rfam family "Bacterial small subunit ribosomal RNA", at positions 1249 to 1500 of the family's 1533-position model. The record is from RNAcentral.
GCCAAGUCGUGAGGCGGAGCUAAUCCCUUAAAGCCAUUCUCAGUUCGGAUUGUAGGCUGAAACUCGCCUACAUGAAGCUGGAGUUACUAGUAAUCGCAGAUCAGAAUGCUGCGGUGAAUGCGUUUCCGGGUCUUGUACACACCGCCCGUCACACCACGGAAGUUGGGGGCGCCCGAAGCCACUUAGCUAACCCUUUUGGGAAGCGAGUGUCGAAGGUGAAAUCAAUAACUGGGGUGAAGUCGUAACAAGGUAAC